This 476-nucleotide ribosomal RNA is filed under the name uncultured anaerobic ammonium-oxidizing bacterium. RNAcentral's name for it is "bacterial SSU rRNA". It matches the Rfam family "Bacterial small subunit ribosomal RNA", at positions 365 to 832 of the family's 1533-position model. The record is from RNAcentral.
UUCGCAAUGCCCGAAAGGGUGACGAAGCGACGCCGCGUGAGCGAAGAAGGCCCUAGGGUUGUAAAGCUCUGUCGAGGGUUAUGAAAUAUAAGUGAGAUAAUACCUCAUUUAUUUGACAAAGGCCCCAAAGGAAGUCACGGCUAACUCUGUGCCAGCAGCCGCGGUAAUACAGAGGUGGCGAGCGUUGUUCGGUAUUAUUGGGCGUAAAGAGCACGUAGGUGGUUUUGUAAGUCAGGUGUGAAAGCCUUCUGUUCAAAGGAAGAACGGCAUCUGAAACUGCAGAUCUUGAGUGUGGGAGGGGAGAGUGGAACUUCUGGUGGAGCGGUGAAAUGCGUAGAUAUCAGAAGGAACGUCGGCGGCGAAAGCGACUCUCUGGCCUAUUACUGACACUGAGGUGCGAAAGUUAGGGGAGCAAACGGGAUUAGAUACCCCGGUAGUCCUAACCGUAAACGAUGGGCACUAAGUAGAGGGGUUUU